UGGAUCACCUCCUAACAGGGAGACAACAACUGAUCGUGAUGUCUGAGUACUCUAUUCUCAGGCCAUGAUCCUGUCAUCUCGAAGGUCGAUCGGUACCUCAAUUUCAAACCUAGUAGCACUUGAGCAAUCAGGCUGUUGACUGAGGUUUGAUCUUUAGUUCCUAAACGUUGUCUAGGUCACCCCAUAGAGGGUUCACUUCCUGGGCCAUUAGCUCAGGUGGUUAGAGCGCACCCCUGAUAAGGGUGAGGUCCCUGGUUCAAGUCCAUGAUGGCCCAUUCAAACCAUGAUCAACUCCGAUCGUUCAGGUUAGCCCUGACAAUCUGGAGAAGAGACAGGUCUUGGGGGUUUAGCUCAGUUGGUAGAGCGCCUGCUUUGCAAGCAGGAUGUCAGCGGUUCGAGUCCGCUAACCUCCACUAACAUCUGAACUCCAAACCAGGAAGCGAUUCUUGGGAGGUGACUAGACGUUGUUCGCUGAUCGAGUUCAGCCUCAGAUCAUCUCCAGAACUGACCGCAUGGUGGUCAGGAUCCAUGGAUUGAUCUGAUGCUGGAUUCAGCAGAGAGGGCCGCAAGGCCGUUUUUGUUUGAGUUUCAGCAGAACCUUGACAACUGCAUAGGUGAGUCUGGAAAGACAAAGCAUCUCAUAGAGGCGAGAUGACAAAAGCUGAAAGGCUUGAGUCAACUCGUGAUUCUAUUUUUGAGAGCCGAGACCUUCUAGCGUUCUCCCCAAUCCGCCGAGGUGCGGGGAGUUUGAUCCCCGUUUCUAUGGUCUCAGAAAUGAGCGUAGAAACUUGAGAGAAUAGGCCUCAACAGCCUGAAGCGUUAGGAGGGUUAAUUGGUCAAGCUACAAAGGGCUCACGGUGGAUACCUUGGCACACAGAGGCGAUGAAGG
RNAcentral lists this transfer RNA (889 nucleotides) under uncultured cyanobacterium. RNAcentral's name for it is "partial contains 16S ribosomal RNA, 16S-23S ribosomal RNA intergenic spacer, and 23S ribosomal RNA". The stretch from base 341 to 413 matches the Rfam family "tRNA". Lineage: Bacteria; Bacillati; Cyanobacteriota. The record is from RNAcentral.